GACGGAGGAUGCAAGUGUUAUCCGGAAUCACUGGGCGUAAAGCGUCUGUAGGUGGUUCGAAAAGUCCACUGUUAAAAAUUGAGGCUUAACUUCAAAGAUGCCGUGGAAACUUUCAAACUAGAGUAUGGUAGGGGUAGAGGGAAUUUCCAGUGGAGCGGUGAAAUGCGUAGAUAUUGGAAAGACCACCGAUGGCGAAGGCAGGUCUCUGGGCUGACACUGACGCUCAUGCACGAAAGCGUGGGGAGCAAACAGG
Molecule: ribosomal RNA, 253 nt
Filed under: uncultured bacterium
Lineage: Bacteria
Description: partial 16S ribosomal RNA
Rfam family: Bacterial small subunit ribosomal RNA
Source: RNAcentral